This 272-nucleotide long non-coding RNA is filed under the name Arabidopsis thaliana (thale cress). Its description in RNAcentral is "long non-coding RNA (ATHA_LNC000462)". Lineage: Eukaryota; Viridiplantae; Streptophyta; Magnoliopsida; Brassicales; Brassicaceae. The record is from RNAcentral.
CUUGAUCUUGGCCAGCUCAUUCAAGCACCUAUGCGAUCUUGUGAAAUCCACGGAAAAUAUCACUAGCGCGAGCUCAGACUCUUCAAUCCUCGUCAAUAGGUUAGCCAUUUCUGAGCCCAAAAACUCGUUCUCAUCUAUGAAGACGUUUAUGUUCGCUUCUCUCAAGGCAGGGACAAGAAAGCUUAUGAAGUGUUUGCGGACAUCUGCUCCCCGGAAGCAUAUGAACACCUGAGGCCCCGUUGGGGUGGGUUUCACAACCGAGGAAGAAGAAG